UGGGGAAUAUUGGACAAUGGGCGCAAGCCUGAUCCAGCCAUACCGCGUGGGUGAAGAAGGCCUUCGGGUUGUAAAGCCCUUUUGUUGGGAAAGAAAUCCAGCUGGUUAAUACCCGGUUGGGAUGACGGUACCCAAAGAAUAAGCACCGGCUAACUUCGUGCCAGCAGCCGCGGUAAUACGAAGGGUGCAAGUGUUACUCGGAAUUACUGGGCGUAAAGCGUGCGUAGGUGGUCGUUUAAGUCCGUUGUGAAAGCCCUGGGCUCAACCUGGGAACUGCAGUGGAUACUGGGCGACUAGAGUGUGGUAGAGGGUAGCGGAAUUCCUGGUGUAGCAGUGAAAUGCGUAGAGAUCAGGAGGAACAUCCAUGGCGAAGGCAGCUACCUGGACCAACACUGACACUGAGGCACGAAAGCGUGGGGAGCAAACAGGAUUAGAUACCCUGGUAGUCCACGCCCUAAACGAUGCGAACUGGAUGUUGGGUGCAAUUUGGCACGCAGUAUCGAAGCUAACGCGUUAAGUUCGCCGCCUGGGGAGUACGGUCGCAAGACUG
Molecule: ribosomal RNA, 550 nt
Filed under: uncultured bacterium
Lineage: Bacteria
Description: bacterial SSU rRNA
Rfam family: Bacterial small subunit ribosomal RNA
Source: RNAcentral